UUUGUAUUUAAUAAAGAAAACAUUAAUCUCAUUUUUAAAAUGCCAAGGAUGUUGAAUACGAAAUUGGAGAAACAAAGUCAAUGACUGGUGAUUUAGAAGAAUGGAAAAGCGAUUUGAUAAAUGUUGAACAAACUACGUGAAUAUGAACACCGAUUGGAAUUUAUAAUAUUAAAUAAUAUUCAUCAAUU
This is a long non-coding RNA of Teleopsis dalmanni, 188 nucleotides long. RefSeq lists it as uncharacterized. The record is from RefSeq and is a predicted model, not a curated record. The transcript has 2 exons. Lineage: Eukaryota; Metazoa; Arthropoda; Insecta; Diptera; Diopsidae.